AUCACGGAGAAGGAUCUCACCGACAUGGCCAACGACGGUCUGAUCCCCCACGGAGCAGCAAGGCUCCCGGGGAACGAGUGGCAACCCCAGCCGGAAGAGGGUGAGUGUGUUCUUCUGGCUACCCACGUCGACCGCGGGUUUUCUUUGCCGCCGAGUGUUUUCUUCCGUGGUUUCUUGAACUUCUUUGGAGCGCAACUCCACCACUUCAAUCCGAACUCUAUCGCCUACCUUGCUGCCUUUGUAUCCAUGUGUGAGAACUUUCUGGGUUGCCGACCGCACUGGGGUCUGUUCAAGCAUAUAUUCACGUGUCGCUCUCAGACCGUGAAGAAGGCGAGUCCAGAUGACGACAAAACCAAGGUUAUUCAGAUGUGUGGAGGUCUGGGGAUCCAGAUGAGGAACAAGAGCACCUUCCCAACUAUGACGCUUCCCGAGUCGGUCAGAGGCUGGCAGUCGACUUGGUUCUACUGCCAGAGCGAGUCGACGCCGGGGCAGUCGAGUGGCCUCCCUCCGUUUACCAUGGACCGAGCCAACAAACCCUCCUCUCUGAAGGUGCUCCCGGAGGAGAAAGCCGACGUGAAGAUGUUGAUGGAGCGU
RNAcentral lists this ribosomal RNA (594 nucleotides) under Triticum aestivum (bread wheat). RNAcentral describes it as "partial small subunit ribosomal RNA". The record is from RNAcentral. Lineage: Eukaryota; Viridiplantae; Streptophyta; Magnoliopsida; Poales; Poaceae.